Long non-coding RNA from Mya arenaria, 583 nucleotides. RefSeq lists it as uncharacterized. The record is from RefSeq and is a predicted model, not a curated record. The transcript is spliced from 4 exons. Lineage: Eukaryota; Metazoa; Mollusca; Bivalvia; Myida; Myidae.
UGAAAUGUGAAAAUCUUAUAUUACAUAAUAUAAAUUAAUAAUAUAUAAUUUUCUUAUAUAUUUUUGACAUUUUUAAAAAAAACUACUUUCACUUUCAAUUUAAUGUUUGGAAAUAGUUCCAAAUGAUGGUAACUAAUGAAUGAAAGCCUCACUUUCAAUUCCAAAGUAUAAAUGGAGGGAUUUUUUUAACAUAGGAAGCAGACCCAGGAGGAACUGUCUGUUGAAGACCCCCCCCCCCCACCAAGCUGCCCACCAGAGGCCAAGCUGUACUUGGUGUUUGCCAACAUGCUGUAAUUUCCAGCCUGGUUGCUGUAGCCACAGAGGAAUUUUCAAGGACAAGAACCAGUGCUGGUAAAACUGUGGUCUCUGUGGUUUUCCAUACCGGCUCUCGGCAAGGAUUUUCAAGAAAGGAAUACCAUCUCCAAAUCAUGAUGUGCCAAUAAGCUCCAGUUAGCUGCGGCCUUUUCCCCAGGCGGUAGUCCUGCAAUCUGAAUCCAGGAGAUGCAGCUCUGAAUCCAAUAUUUCAGAAGAAUGAAGAUGAAGCAGACCCAGGAGGAACUGUCUGUUGAAGACCCCCCCCCCC